Molecule: unclassified non-coding RNA, 1298 nt
Filed under: Melitaea cinxia (Glanville fritillary)
Lineage: Eukaryota; Metazoa; Arthropoda; Insecta; Lepidoptera; Nymphalidae
Description: misc RNA ENSMCXG00005009173.1
Source: RNAcentral
CCAAUAACCAUUAUACGAAGCCGCGAGUGAAAGCCUAAUUAAAAAAUAAAACAGUAGUACUUGUGCGCGAGUAUACCCAUGCGCAAACGCACCCCCUCCAGUUUCUUUCAGCGUUCUUUUUACAUGACGCGAACUUUACACGUGAUACCAAAUAUAGCCCCCUCUCUCCUUGUGGUAUUUCAUGAUUUUUUUCCGAACUCCCCCUCCCCCCUUUCGAGACGUGAUUAUAGACGACCACUAAUUAAAACAUUGUAAUCGUCUUAACGCGCGUUUACUUAGACUCAAUGUAUAAAUAAAUGAUUUGUUAAAUUAAAUCAAAAUUAAAAUUUAAUAAACAGAAACCUAGCAGAAGUACAAGAAGGUCAAGCAGUUUUAUCACUUACGUUUGCAAACCCUUUCGGCUAUCACAAAAUGUUACUUUGUGAUCCCAUUUUCUUCAGUUUAAUGAAUUAUAAUCAUGUAUCCAUACCUCAGUAUACGGUUGUCUUAAUACUGUUUUCCUUGUUUAUUUAAAAUGAAAUGAAAAACAAAUAAUUUUUUUAAAUAAGGCAACCUGUAUGAAAACUAUGUUUGCGAGUACGCUGUAAAUAUAAUUUUGAGCAAUUGAAUGUUAGUUUACAAACUGUAAUAUAUAUUUCCAUACAUUCCUACUUAAUUUCGUGUUUAAGUCCAGAAAACAAAGAAGCUUUAAAAAGUUGAUUAGUUUAUAGGAUAAGCUGUAAUAAAAAUAAAUUUAUUAUGUUUACGUAAAAACGACUGAGUUUGGAUGAUUCAAUGUGUUUGUUUUUCCCAAAAUGUAGUUCAAAAUUAAAGUUUAUUGAAAUUGUUAAGUAUUUCACUUUUAUAAAGUAAUAAACACCUGCUUGAUAAAGUUUCUCAACUUUGUGAUAUUAACUUUGUAAUUAAUUGAUACGUUGAAGUACCGGUUAGUUGUGGUGAUAUCGGAAAAAAAAUGUUAGUUUUAAGUUAAUUAUAAUGCCAAUAUUUCUCAUGUAAAUAAAUAAAAAAGUCACCUAGUUCAAUUUAAUAAUUAUAUUUGAUUUUACGAUUUUAUAUUGUUAUUGAAUAAUAUUGAACAAACGUUUAGGAUUAAAACUUUGCAAAUAUAUAUUUGCAUAUGUUUUUAAUGUAGUCUGAACAUGUCUAUACAUGUUCGUAACAUCUACCUUAUCGUUUCAUAUCGUUUAUAUCGGUUCAUAUCGUUUUGAAUAAUUGAAAUUAUAAUCAAUGCGAUCGGCCAUCUGUACCUUAAUAAAUAAGUAUUAUGUCUAAUAUAAAAUAAAGAAAAAAAAAAAAAA